GUUCAGAAAUAGGGCGCUGGCUUUGCCAGGAGCGGCUCCUCUCCAAGCCUGGCGGUCACUGCCCUGUGUCCCCUUUUGGGCCUCUCCUGGUCCUCCUGGUUGGAUUAGGAGGCCUCUCAGCCCGGAGUCUGGGUCGCCGAAGUACAGGCCCCUUCACUGAAGCGACCCACGGCGCAGGGGUUUCUGGAAGCCAUCGCCAGGCUCCGAGUGUUCAGAUGCAGCUGCCAGGCUCAGGACGCAGAGAACUGGCUUCCAGCUCGCAGGAGCGCCUGUCCGUGGUGGGUAGGGUCGCAGGCGUGGGGUGUGCAGGAGCAGUGGGACAGCACUGAAACGCAGUCGCUCUGGCAUAUAAAGAGCUCGGAAGCCUUCAUUCCCAUCUUCACAACAACAAAAUCAUUCAACAAACUGAAAAUCAACUUUUCUUAGAUCCAUCAGAGAACUGAAGAUAGAAAGGAAGAGAUACCACGGUGUGCAGGCACAGGGAAAAGACCACGUGAGGACACAGAGAGAAGACGGCCGUCUGCAAGCCAAGGAGAGAGGCCUCAGGUGAAACCAAACCUGCAGGCACCUUGAUCUUGGACUUCCAGCCUCCAGAAGCUUGAGAAAAGAAAUUUCUGUUGUUUAAGACACCCAUUCUGUGGUAUUUGUUCUGGCAGCCCUAACAAACUAAUAUAGGGAUCUAAAGAUUCCUUGUCUUCAUUUUGAGUAAGAGACUAUAAACUCAGAACUGUGGAGAUCUAGUUAGGUAUUGUACAGCUAGCCUCAUUCUGUCUUAAACUCCAGGUAAAAGAGAAAAAUAUGGAGACAGCCCCUGACUUUGGAGAACUUGCAGUUUUGUGGAGGUGAAAGGAGGCAGCCACAAGAAAAACCCCUGACAUCAAUUCAAAACUAUAAAUAACAAAGACUAACUUGUUCUAUGCACAACAGGUACUACAGCACUGUCCAACAUGGGGACAUGUGAGUGGCCUGAAGCAGCACAAGAACUGGGCAAUAAACUUGAGAUGAACCUCAAAGCAUCAAUAUUAUUCAUGACUAAACUGGGUUCUAAGAAUUUCUAUUUUUACUCUCAGUGUUCAGUAGAGGUCAUUAAAAAAAAAUCUAGCAAUUUUUUUUUCUAAAAUGAAUAUGUAAUAAGAAUGAAAAACAAAAAGCACUAUAAUGUUUUUAAUUAAUGAAAUGCCUUUACGAACCAAGGUGCCAUCUUGGAGAAGCUAGGCAUUAUGAGGAGCUAUCAGGAGCACAUUUGCUAACAGCUUGGCAUGAGCAGGAUUUUCUUGACCAACUGGCAAGAUGGGGCUGCUCAGCUCCUGCUGGCAGAUUUUUAUGGAGCAUAGUUUUACAAAUUCAGCCUACAACUCUGAUACGUUCCAAUGUAUUUUAAACAUCUAUUCAGUUGCAACUCUAAUCCCAGGAACCUGUGGCUAACAGAAGGCAGAUUUAACUGACUAGCAGCUGUGGGAUUUUCAAAGUCUAAACUGAAAUGAACAUGCGAAACAGUUGGACUACCCCAAAAGCUGAAUUACAAUUCCAGCACUCACCAGCUCUGAAACCUCACUUGGUUACCUAACGCCUCUGUGCCUCAGUUCCCCAGCUAUAAAAUGGAAAAGGCAACAAUACCAACCUUGUAGAUUAUGUUUUGGAUUAAAUGAGGCAACACAUACACAGCACUUAGAACGUGCAAGGCACAAUGGAAGCAUGCAGUGAACAUGACUUGUAAUGAUGCUGACUGUCAUAACUCUCAUCCAUAGGGAUGCUGCCUCUGCUUGUCACCCUUGACCUAUAUAUUUUCAGGCAGUCCUCACCCAGUCCCCAUUUGUGUGUUCUAGAUAGAAAAGGCCCCAUACUAUGAAAUGACUACUGUCCUUCUGCAUGAAGCCUGGUGAACCUGAUAAUGUAGCCUUCAAGUUCCCUUACUGAGCCUUGAGCUCCCUUCAAAGUAUCCAAGCCAACCCUGUCUUGGGAAACUCACCUAGAUAAUGCCCUGAACCCCAAUAAAGGCUCCAGCCCACAGGUCCCUCCCUCUCUCUUGGUCCCCACCCUUUGGCUGGGCAUGUGUGUCCUCAAUGUCUCCAAGCCCUUCCAGUAAGCCCUGCAAGGUGUGCUGGCCAC
Long non-coding RNA from Homo sapiens (human), 2109 nucleotides. Ensembl annotates it as ZNF470 divergent transcript. Its record names the gene ZNF470-DT. The record is from Ensembl. NCBI's taxonomy places the organism in Eukaryota, Metazoa, Chordata, Mammalia, Primates, Hominidae.